Gossypium raimondii (Peruvian cotton) is the source of this 1302-nucleotide long non-coding RNA. RefSeq lists it as uncharacterized. The transcript has 3 exons. The record is from RefSeq and is a predicted model, not a curated record. NCBI's taxonomy places the organism in Eukaryota, Viridiplantae, Streptophyta, Magnoliopsida, Malvales, Malvaceae.
GACGUUAUUUUGUUCAAAAUGAAAUAAUUUUUUGCGACGUUUUUCAUAAAAACGUCGCAAAAGAUAAGCAAUAACGCCUUUUUGUAUCUCAAAACACCCAAGUGUUUCUCUCUGUCACCACCGUCUUCAUCAUCAUCUUCCCCUCUCUCCCUCUUGUUGCAUAUAUCUCAAAAGAGGAAAAAGAAAAAAAGGUAAAAAGAAAAACAACGCAAAUGGAAGAACCUCAAAACGGAAACGGAAAGUUGAAUACUAUCGCAGAGGAAGAGGAGGAGCCGGUUAUAGGACUAGGACCCGCCCCUCGAGCUCGACCGAAGCGCCCGCUCCAGUUUGAACAAACAUAUCUCGAUUCCCUUCCUUGAGCUAACAUGUAACUUUCUUCUUCUUCUUCUCAUUUCUAAUCAUUUAUUUAUUGGAAUUUUGUCGCUUUCUCAUGGUUUCCGUAGGGUUUAAUGAAAUUGUCUUCAGCCUUUUUUCAUUUUGUUUUUUUAAGUGAAAAAAGAAGCAAGGAGCAAAGGAACCAACAGAAUAAACCUUAAUUUCUUUGUACUGAAGUUGCGAAUAAAGAGCUCCAAGAGCUCAUGAUGUAUGCCUCUUUUUUGUGUGUGUGAUUUCUAGGUAUGAGAAAAGCUAUAUGCAUCGAGAUGUAGUUACUUAUUUUGCUGUAUCGUCCGCAGAUUUUUUUCAUCACUGGAAGUGUUGAUGAAGAAGAGAAACAAAACGGAUUCCAGUACUCGUUGCAAGUUUAUCAGUAAUUUUUGGGCUGGCUGUGGUUUUUAUCUCUGGUUUCUUCAUCUGGAGGAGGAGAAACAGUCGAGACAAAGAAAACAGCCAAGAAGUUCAAUUACUUGACUUGGUAAAUGAGCACUCAAGGGAAACUGUGACGCAGACCCAUAUUUUUUAUUUUGGCAUUUCAUGUAAUUGCUGUACAAGUAAAGUAAAAAGUAGACUGAGGCAGUUUUCAUUAUUGACUUUAUUGACUUUGAUUUAAUUAUGCCAUUAUUGACUUCGAUGCUGAAUUUCAUUAUUGCUGGCUCCUAUUUUUUCGGGAGAAAAAUAAGAACAAACCUUGGUUAUUGGAGGAUGAAACAGGUCAGGCUCAAUAUCAAGGUCAACUUGAAGGUUCACAGUCGGCAACUUAUCACCUGCUUAUGAUGCAAGGAAAGGAAUUUGUAGCUAUUCCUGCUGGUUCUUGGUAUGAGUGACAUUUAUAACGUUUGUGUCUUGGUGUCUAUUUCUUUGUUAUCAUUCAAAUUAACUAUUGUGAGAGAUAAGGGUGACACAAAAGGUCCCUAGCCCGUCUCU